UGGGGAGCUCUCCCAUAUGGUCGACCUGCAGGCGGCCGCGAAUUCACUAGUGAUUCGUAUUACCGCGGCUGCUGGCACAGAGUUAGCCGGUGCUUAUUCUGUCGGUAACGUCAAAACAGCAAAGUAUUAAUUUACUGCCCUUCCUCCCAACUUAAAGUGCUUUACAAUCCGAAGACCUUCUUCACACACGCGGCAUGGCUGGAUCAGGCUUUCGCCCAUUGUCCAAUAUUCCCCACUGCUGCCUCCCGUAGGAGUCUGGACCGUGUCUCAGUUCCAGUGUGACUGAUCAUCCUCUCAGACCAGUUACGGAUCGUCGCCUUGGUGAGCCAUUACCCCACCAACUAGCUAAUCCGACCUAGGCUCAUCUGAUAGCGCAAGGCCCGAAGGUCCCCUGCUUUCUCCCGUAGGACGUAUGCGGUAUUAGCGUCCGUUUCCGAACGUUAUCCCCCACUACCAGGCAGAUUCCUAGGCAUUACUCACCCGUCCGCCGCUCUCAAGAGAAGCAAGCUUCUCUCUACCGCUCGACUUGCAUGUGUUAGGCCUGCCGCCAGCGUUCAAUCUGAGCCAUGAUCAAACUCUAAUCGAAUUCCCGCGGCCGCCAUGGCGGCCGGGAGCAUGCGACGUCGGGCCCA
Molecule: ribosomal RNA, 632 nt
Filed under: uncultured Gammaproteobacteria bacterium
Lineage: Bacteria; Pseudomonadati; Pseudomonadota; Gammaproteobacteria
Description: partial 16S ribosomal RNA
Source: RNAcentral